This 50-nucleotide transfer RNA is filed under the name Aphelandra dolichantha. RNAcentral's name for it is "partial tRNA-Leu". Lineage: Eukaryota; Viridiplantae; Streptophyta; Magnoliopsida; Lamiales; Acanthaceae. The record is from RNAcentral.
CUUUUUUGGGGAUAGAGGGACUUGAACCCUCACGAUUUUUAAAGUCGACG